CACGGGUGAGUAACACGUAUCCAACCUGCCGUCUACUCUUGGACAGCCUUCUGAAAGGAAGAUUAAUACAAGAUGGCAUCAUGAGUCCGCAUGUUCACAUGAUUAAAGGUAUUCCGGUAGACGAUGGGGAUGCGUUCCAUUAGAUAGUAGGCGGGGUAACGGCCCACCUAGUCUUCGAUGGAUAGGGGUUCUGAGAGGAAGGUCCCCCACAUUGGAACUGAAACACGGUCCAA
RNAcentral lists this ribosomal RNA (233 nucleotides) under uncultured bacterium. RNAcentral describes it as "partial 16S ribosomal RNA". It matches the Rfam family "Bacterial small subunit ribosomal RNA", at positions 102 to 334 of the family's 1533-position model. The record is from RNAcentral.